UUAAGUUGAUUUCUUCGGAUUGAUUCUUAACUGACUGAGCGGCGGACGGGUGAGUAACGCGUGGGUGACCUGCCCCAUACCGGGGGAUAACAGUUGGAAACGGCUGCUAAUACCGCAUAAGCGCACGAGAGGACAUCCUCUUGUGUGAAAAACUCCGGUGGUACAGGAUGGGCCCGCGUCUGAUUAGCUGGUUGGCAGGGUAACGGCCUACCAAGGCGACGAUCCAUAGCCGGCCUGAGAGGGUGAACGGCCACAUUGGGACUGAGACACGGCCCAGACUCC
Molecule: ribosomal RNA, 282 nt
Filed under: uncultured Lachnospiraceae bacterium
Lineage: Bacteria; Bacillati; Bacillota; Clostridia; Lachnospirales; Lachnospiraceae
Description: partial 16S ribosomal RNA
Rfam family: Bacterial small subunit ribosomal RNA
Source: RNAcentral